RNAcentral lists this long non-coding RNA (413 nucleotides) under Gallus gallus (chicken). RNAcentral describes it as "lncRNA (ENSGALG00010019824.1)". Lineage: Eukaryota; Metazoa; Chordata; Aves; Galliformes; Phasianidae. The record is from RNAcentral.
UAAAUGGCCACUGACAUAUGUACAAAAAACAAUAAGCAGUAAGUUGUAUAUUGAAUACUGCAUGCAAGUGAGAACCAUUUUAUACGACACUUUGAAACAGAGAAAAAUUAAGUUUCAUCACUAUACUGACAGAGCUGGACACUGAAGCUUCUGGUCUUCCUUUUUGCUGACAAGAUACACCAAUGUGCCUUGAAACUCGUCUCUGGCAUUGGCCUGUAUUGCCAAGAGGCUGAUCUUACUGACAGUGAAUACUUUCUUUCAAUACACAACACACACAUGGGAUGCAGAGUUUCUUUGGUUCCUGCAGAUGCUCAGGAAAUGCUGUAUCAACCACAAGUGGAAGAAAUCGGUGGAAGACAAAGCUCCAGGAGCUCCAAGCAUGGGAAAGGCUGCAGGUCCAAGGCAGGAUAAUG